This 233-nucleotide non-coding RNA is filed under the name Ipomoea nil (Japanese morning glory). RNAcentral describes it as "Bacterial small subunit ribosomal RNA". It matches the Rfam family "Bacterial small subunit ribosomal RNA", at positions 39 to 534 of the family's 1533-position model. The record is from Rfam by way of RNAcentral. Lineage: Eukaryota; Viridiplantae; Streptophyta; Magnoliopsida; Solanales; Convolvulaceae.
UAGAUAUUCCUAUUUUCAUAUUAUUGAAGCAAUAUGGACUCUCAUUUGAUGCAAUUAUAACUAAGUGGGGAAUCUUGGAUAAUGAGCGAAAGCUCAAUCUAAAAAUAUCUCAUAAGUGAAGAAAGGAAAUGUCGCUUGUAAUGCUUUUUCGUUGAGUGCAUGAUCAUGACAGGACUCAAGGAAGAAGCAUCGACUAACUCCGUGUCAGCAACCGCGGUAAGAUGGGGAAGGGG